RNAcentral lists this ribosomal RNA (253 nucleotides) under uncultured bacterium. RNAcentral's name for it is "partial 16S ribosomal RNA". It matches the Rfam family "Bacterial small subunit ribosomal RNA", at positions 524 to 776 of the family's 1533-position model. The record is from RNAcentral.
UACGUAGGGAGCAAGCGUUGUUCGGAUUUACUGGGCGUAAAGGGCGCGUAGGCGGCAUGUCAAGUCAGUUGUGAAAUCUCCGGGCUUAACUCGGAACGGCCAAGUGAAACUGUCAAGCUAGAGUGCAGAAGGGGCAAUCGGAAUUCUUGGUGUAGCGGUGAGAUGCGUAGAUAUCAAGAGGAACACCUGAGGUGAAGACGGGUUGCUGGGCUGACACUGACGCUGAGGCGCGAAAGCCAGGGGAGCAAACGGG